GGGCGGAUAGUUCAGCGGUAGAACACCUGCCUUACACGCAGGGGGUCACAGGUUCGAACCCUGUUUCGCCCACCA
Molecule: transfer RNA, 75 nt
Filed under: [Eubacterium] saphenum
Lineage: Bacteria; Bacillati; Bacillota; Clostridia; Peptostreptococcales; Anaerovoracaceae
Also listed under: 11 other names
Description: tRNA-Val(tac)
Rfam family: tRNA
About the family: Transfer RNA (tRNA) molecules are approximately 80 nucleotides in length. Their secondary structure includes four short double-helical elements and three loops (D, anti-codon, and T loops).
Source: RNAcentral